GUGGGCGUAGCUCAGUUGGUAGAGCACAGGAUUGUGGCUCCUGAGGUCGCGGGUUCAAAUCCCGUCGCUCACCCCA
This 76-nucleotide transfer RNA is filed under the name Gammaproteobacteria bacterium. RNAcentral's name for it is "tRNA-His". It matches the Rfam family "tRNA". From Rfam's summary of the family: Transfer RNA (tRNA) molecules are approximately 80 nucleotides in length. The record is from RNAcentral. Lineage: Bacteria; Pseudomonadati; Pseudomonadota; Gammaproteobacteria.